UUGUUUUUCCCUUCAAACAUUCAUCUCGCGCCUAACAUGGGGUCUCGGCAGGACCAGCCCGCCGUCAACGGGGAGCAAGGUAACGGCGCGGGCGCAGCCUACGUGCGGUACAGGGAGUGCCAGCGCAACCAUGCCAUCGGAAUCGGCCGGUAUGCCGUCGACGGCUGCCAAGAGUUCACGGUGUUAAUGGGCGUCGAUGAGGCUGCCAUGCUCCUCUGCGCGGCGUGUGGCUGUCACCGCAACUUCCACAGGCGCGAGGUCGUCAACGAGUUCGGCGUCGACUACCAUGCUCCCCGGACGCCCCCCGCCGACGAAAAUCGCCGUUGAAGCCAUGAAGCUUGCUGCUGCUGCCUCUUCUUGCUCAUCGUGAAUUGGAUCUAGCUGGAUCAUGCAUGGCCAGGGCACGGCUGGUAGUAUUUUAUUUCAUCUUCUUUGUCAUCUUAUGAAAUUUGUGUGGAUGAAUAAUUCGCGGGGGAUGUCCCGUCAGCGUAGAUCGAUCGAUGUGAUGAACCUCUUCUAUGAAUUCGAAUUUGAUUUCCCUUGUGCCUUUUUACUUGAUGAGAUUUGUUCUUCACUACAGUAACUUUCCAGACUCUGAAAGUAAUUAAUUUAUAGUUACUCUCGUUUGUUUUAAUCAAACCGAUUUCGGUGCAAUGUCACCAGAUCACCACAUCGAGGAACGACCUUUUCUCUUUGGGAUAUAUAUCAAUCUGCUGUUUCUCCAAGCUACUCGCAUCGUCGCGCACGUACGCUCCUCAGUCUCCUGAUUACAAUUAAGUUGGACCAUAUUAUGCGCGCAGGGCGGCUUGUUGAUUAAUCAUGUUCUAGCAAGUUGAAACCAACCUCAUUGUGUGUUACCGCGAGACUAGUGCUGUAAGAAUUUACUCCCUCCAUCCUAUAAUAUAAAAACGUUUUUGUAAAAUAGUGAGUAUUUAUUUUGGGUGAACGCCGCAAACUUUUCCUCUUUUGAUUGGAAGAGUGGACGCCGCAAGUAGAAGUUUAUCACAAGGGAUUAGGGAGGGAAGCUGAGCUCCGGUCCAAAGCCCGGCCACGUGCUCCCAAGUCCUGGCCGGCUAGUUUCCACAAGGCAAUGGCAAGGAUGCCAGCAGCACGCAUUUUGUUGGUUUCUGGAUAUUCCAUGAAUAAUUUUGUUUGUUUCUAGAUAUUUCCUGUUCGCUAGUUUUCGUCCUUCUUUUAGUAUAUUCUGAUGUGUGUUCGGGCUUUUCAGUUGUUUUUUGUCGAUUUUUUUAUUUUUAUUUUUCGUUUCUUGUUUUCAUUUUUAUUAUGUAUUUUAAAAAAAAUUACUUUUUGAUUUAAAAAUUAAACGAAUAUGUUUCAUAUAUAUAAUGAUUUUAAUACAUGAUAAAUUUUUAAGUAAACUAUAAACAACUUUAAGCACAUGAUGAACAUUCUUGUAAAUACAUGAUAAACAAUUUUCUAAUGCGUGAUAAACAUUUUAAGAAACAAGAUGAACCAUUUUUUAUGAGCAUGGUGAACUGCAUUCAAUAAAUGACGAAAAUUGUCUAAUAAGUGACAACACUUUUUUCUAUGAAAAAGAUAAUGUCCACACAUGUGGGCGUUUGCAUCUUGCCCACACGCAUGGAUCAACGUCCGUUUGUGUUUGUAUGAAUCUUGACAUGUUUGUUAGAUUUUUUAUGCCACGUAAGAUUGGACUGGUGUGUGGGCAUUCAUCCGGUCGCCGACACGUCCGUUCCACCACGCGGAGGGGCUGGUGUGUGGGCAUUUAGCAGUUCGCCCACACGCCAGUUUUCACGCACGUGGAGGGGCUGGAGUGUGGGCGUUUAUCAGUUCGCCCACACGCCUGUCUCCUCUCCCACACCCAAAGCUAUCAGUUGCCAUGUAUUUUGCAGGGUACAUGGCAACUGCCCUAGUGUGCUUGUAAGCAGAUGGCAACUCUCUCUUUACCCGAACAUGUUAUUUUGCCAUGUCUUUUUAUAGUGCUACAUGGCAACAGCCUAGUUUUAGUAGGUUAAACUCCUAAAGAUACCACCACCCCCACACGCCCAUCUCCACUCCCACACCCAAAGUUGUCAUUUUCCAUGUGUUUUGCAGGGUACAUGGCAACUGCCCUAGUAUGCUUGUAAGCAGAUGGCAACUCUCUCUUUACCCGAACAUGUUAUUUUGUCAUGUCUUUUUGUAGUGCUACAUGGCAACUGCCUAGUGUUAGUAGGUGGCAACUCCUAAAAUUUUUAAACCAUGGCAACUGUAGUAGACCAGACCAUACAUGGCAACAACUGUAGUUGUUCAAAAAUGGCAUCUAACACUUGACCUGAGAUGGCAACUGCAGUUGAGCAACCAUUGCAACUUAGUUGUCAGACAUAGCAACUGCAGUUCAGCAACAUGGCAACUGCAGUUAAACGAACAUGGAAGAGGGUCCGGACCAUGGCAACUAUGCGGACGCGUGGUGACUGUCACGCGGGACGUGCGUGACCGUGAGGUAGGAGGUCGGACGUACGGGCGUGUGGGCGUUAUCUAUUUUGCCCACACGUAGGCGUGUGGGAAGGACCGCGAGGCAAAAGACCGGGCAUGUGGGCAUUACUUAUUUUACCCACACGUAGAUGUGUGGACCGGUUCUCUUAAAUACCACACGAAACGUGUGGUCAGACCCCUUAAGGCCCACACGUGUGAGCGUUAUCGAAACCUUUUUUCUAUUGCAAUGUGUAAUUAAAAAUUGCCCACUACGUAUUUAAACAGCAGCCUCACUGAUUACUGGGAUUUUUUUCCUAUGCUGUUGUCCGGUGUUGUCGCACAUAGGCGAAUUUCCUCAUAUUUCAACAGGAGCCUCACUGAGCCCGAGACAGAUUCUUUCCCCGCUCCAUGCACAAUAUCAUCCCUCAUAAACCAAGAGCGCCAGAUCAUGAGCAGAAUUUUCGUCCGGAUCUCCUCGGUACAUGUGUUAAGGAGGACUUGUAACCAAACAUUGCCUGUGAACCAGAAGGCUUCUUCCUUUGGCAGAUUCAGUGAACUCGCAGUUCCUUCCACAGUGCUCUGCUCUUGGUGCAAGAAAUGACAGCAGGGUCCUCAUUUUCCUCGGCAUUCCCGCGGAUGUCACACAUGUUGUCCGUAGUAAUCGUUCAUUUACACUUGUUUUGUGGCCAGCGAAUUGGUGGCUACCCUCCAUCUUUUCUUUUAAUUUUCUCUGGGAUCUUGGGCUUUCCAAAUGAGAUGUCAAGUGCUCCGCUCAUCGUAAGUUGCAGUGGAUGAAGAGGUAUUGGUACUCCCUGAGCCAAGGUCAUUCAAUUUGUAGGCACUCUUCACAGUGAACACCCCUGUCUUUUCAUAGUGCCAAGGCACGCAAUCUUUCAUUUCCCUAGCCGGUAUUCUGAUCUUGCAUAUUUUCUCUGUUGGCCCAGUCCACGUUGCCAAGCACUUUUCGACGACACACGAUGACCGACAACGAACGACGAUAAGAUGACGCUGGUGAUUUCGCUCCCAAUCAACCUCGCUGCUGGCCGAUACAAUAUACACGGCAAAAGAAACACACCUGGUUGAUUUAUUCGGCGAAACACUCACGUGCGUACCUACUAGCUAGCGACCAAUCGACUUGAUCGAUUCUGGUAUUUGCAAGUCACGCACGCACGCAAAUACUUGAAUUGAUAGCCACGGGCACGUCUCAUGCCUAGUGAUUACUUUAUUGCUUAUCCAACUUACGGUAUGAUUUACAAGCCGGGUACACAUGUAUAUAGAUUUUUCAAGAAGCGAGCACACAAACGGUUGGCGCUUCAGACGCCCAUUACUGUGCAUUUUGCAAACAGCGCGGGCAACAUGAAUCAAACCCCCAACCCGAGUGUUCCAAGACAAUAGUAGUGACCACUAGGCUAGCCCGCCGGCUUCGUUUAUCCUCGCUUUUGUCUACAAUUUAUUACCUUCCUCGGUUUUCCUAGGACGCACGUUUUUAUUUGUUUUUUCUUUUUCUUUUUUCUUGUUAAUUUUUUUGUUUUCUGAAAUGCAUCAUUUUUCCCAAAACUCUUGGAACUUUUUUCAAAUUCGAUGAUUUUUUCAUAAAAGAUGAUGAACUUUUCUUUUCAAAUUUGAUCUUUUUAAAAUCAAUGAACUUUUUCCAAAUUCAGUUAAUGUUUUUCAAAAUUGAUGAUUUCUUUUCGAAUUUGAUGAAUUUUUUUCCAAAUUCGGUGAACUUUUUCCUAAUUCAUGAUUUUUUUUCAAAAGCGAUGAUUUUUUAAUUUAAUAAACUUUUUUUAAAUUCAUGAACGUUUUUCAAAAUUUGAUGAACUAUUUUUCAUAACAAAUCAACUUGUCCUAAUGAUUCAAAAAUCUAAGUGCUAGUGCUUAGUGCGCAUUCCUUUCGUGGGCCGGCCCACUAGGCACUAGCGGGCGCCGGUUGGCUUCUGCGGCGCUUAAAGCGCUCAAUAGGAGCCCCCGAUUCUCCUACAGAGGGAAAGGAAAUCCAAAAGAAGUUUGUGGAGCAGUGUGAGCCGAAAAAGUAGUGAAGCGGUAGGCGCCUUAUCCCCCUGCGCGUAGCAAGACAGACACUGGUGGGCUCUGGCUGCAGGGCAGCAAGCAAUGGCUUCCGUCGCCUUUUUCUCGCUGCUGCUUCUCUCCGCCGCCGUAGCUCCUCCGGCUCUUGGCUUCACGCGGAGCGACUUCCCGCCGGACUUCGUCUUCGGCGCCGCCACCUCCGCGUACCAGGUAGUAACUGGAUAUUGGUUUGGCUUUAUCAGCUAGCAUUGGUCUCUUACAAGUUUCACUCUCUUUCUCGGUGCCCCUGCUCUGUUUAAUUUGCUCUGUUUUUUAAUGCAAUACGAGGGGGCUGUUGCUGAGGAUGGCAGGAGCCCAAGCAUCUGGGACACCUUCACUCAUGCAUGUAAGAGCAACUUCAAUGGGGCGACCCAUUUCAUCCGCGGCCGUUCGUUUGGGUCGGCGUGGACAGAAAAGGCGGCCCAACGCGCCGACUCAAACGGACGCACGUCCGUUUUUCGUCCGCGGGCGACCCAUUCCCGGCCCAUUUUUGAUCCUGAUUUGCGUCGGCGCGGACACGUGACGGACGUGCGCGCGGUCGCCUACUCCUGUCCCUGGGCCCGCUGGUCUGUGACACAUUGGCCUCCCUCCCCCAGGCCAACAAGCAACCCUCGCCCCCCGCCUCCUCCGCCACCGACGCCGCCGCCCAUUUUUGCGGCGACUCUUCCAGCUGCCGCCGCCUCCACAUCCGCCCAGCAACGCCGCCCCUGCCCCCAGUCGCCCGCCGCCGCCGUUUUACCGCCGGGGAGCAAACUGGUUCCCGCCGCCGCUUCCCCCACUGCACAGACGCCCGCGACCAAGAAGACGCCUCGCCACCCCCGCCACAUACGACCGGCACGCUUGUCGGAUGCUGUCACACUCGUCGGACGCCGGCAGGGCAGCUAGCUGGUCUGUGCGCGCCGCGUCUCCCCUCGCCGGCCGUCUCCUUCUUCGACGCCCGCAAGCUGUUCGACAGUUUGCCAAGGUACGAAAAUGGACUCCACCGACGAGUUCUUUUUCCACAAUUUCAUUUGCGACUCCGACGAUUCGUCGUCCGACGACGAGGAGGAGAUAUUGGCUGCCGUGUUGGUCCAUCACCACCUCAACAACCAGCGGCCGCUGUUCCGUGGCUCCGUUCCGGGCCACCUUCCGGCGCUGAAUCGUAACCGAGAGAGUGGGCAUUUCCUUCUCUGGAAGGACUACUUUGAUACAACAAACCCGUUGUUCAAACAUCACAAAUUCCGUCGCCGGUUCCGUACGAGUAGGCAUGUUUUCAACCGUAUUAGAGAGGGAGUGGUCGGCUAUGAUGACUACUUCGAGUGCAAAGAGGAUGCCGUCGGCAAGAUUGGUUUCUCCUCUUAUCAGAAAUGCACUGCCGCCAUCCGAGUGCUUGCAUACGGAGUGCCCGGUGAUCUCAUUGACGAGUACGUCCGUACGAGCGAGUCUACAUGCCUAGAGUCACUGUAUAAGUUCUGCAAGGCUGUGAUUGUUGUGUUUGGCCCUGAGUACUUGAGAGAGCCGACAGCUGCAGAUACAGCCCGUUUGUUGGCGAUGAAUGCUAGCAGGGACUUUCCGGGGAUGCUUGGCAGCAUAGACUGCAUGCACUGGGAGUGGAAGAACUGCCCUUCUGCUUGGCAAGGGCAGUAUAAGGGACAUGUCAGGGCUUGCACUGUCAUACUAGAGGCCGUGGCGUCUCAAGAUCUCUGGAUCUGGCACUCUUUCUUUGGCAUGGCUGGAUCACACAAUGAUAUCAACGUGCUUCAGCGCUCGCCGGUGUUUGCUAGGCUUGCCGAAGGCAACAGCCCACCGGUGAACUUUACUGUCAACGGCCACAACUACGACAAAUGGUACUAUUUGGGUGACGGUAUCUAUCCUCAGUGGACCACUAUUGUAAAGACAAUACCUAACCCUGUUGGAGAGAAAAGGAAAAGAUUUGCCCAAGAGCAAGAGAGUGCUAAAAAGGAUGUCGAGCGUGCCUUUGGUGUUUUGCAAUCUCGAUGGGGCAUCGUUCGGUAUCCUGCUAAUAGUUGGAGCACGCAGAAACUAUGGGAGGUGAUGACUGCUUGUGUGAUCAUGCACAAUAUGAUCGUAGAAGACGAGCGCCCGGAACGUCUGUACGAUCAAGGCUUUCAGUUUCAGGGUGAGAAUGUUGUGCCUGAGCAUGGAGUAGCGGCAACAUUUGAGCAGUUCACUCAGUUUUAUGAAGACAUGCGUGAUUGGGAAACUCACGUGCAACUACAAAAUGAUUUGGUUGAGCAUAUGUGGACUCAUGUUGGCAACCAAUAGAUGUAUCUUCUUUUAUUCGUUUGCAAAACUAUGUGAAACAUUUUUAUUUUUAUUUGGCCUGUAAACUAUACUAUUUAUUUGGGCGGACUAUUUUGUUUGCUAAAUUUUCAUUUCACAAUAUGUUGAAUGCAAUGCAAAAUUGGGCGACCAGCCGGCCACGCCUGCACAUAUGGGUCGGCGCGUUGGGCGCGCUGCCGUCCCGUAUGAAAAACAGGGCGGACGCCGCGCGGGCGGCCGACCCAAACGGACAAAAAGCGGACGAAAUCGCCGUCCGUUUGGGUCGGCCCGUUGGAGUUGCUCUAACUAACCAAUUAACCUGUCAGGUUCGUGCUGAUUUGGGACUAAGAUAAAAAUGUGCUGAUUUGGUGUUUGAUUUUUCUUGUUCUGACGACAGGGAAAAUGGCGGAUAAAAGCGUAGGUGAUGGUACCACAAGUACAAGGUACUGGUCAUUUUUGGGGGUAGACUGAUCUGCCCUGCUGAUUGUAGUGAUAUUAGGCAUGGAUGUAGUAGUACUAUGCUGUCGUCUGCUAGUGACUGAACCUACAAAGCUCUCUUCUCUGCCAGAAACAAAAUAAAAUUUAUUCUUGCAUCUAGGAGUAUCUAUCAUAUUAUUAUUUUUGCUGUGUUGAAGUGUUGUGAUUUCCACACUGUAUAUUUGAACAUUCUGUUUUAACCAGACAUGAUCUGAUGUUUCAGGAUGAUGUGAAGUCAUGGUUGACAUGAACCUAUAGGCUUACAGAUUUUCCAUCUCCUGGUCAAGGCUUAUCCCAGGUAAAAGUACUUCUCAUUAUAUUUCCAGUGCAUUAUUACUAGAAAACCACAAAAUUUAACUGAUUGUUGGUUUGUAACGAGAUUUGCAGAUGGCAGGGGAGCUGUCAAUCCAAAAGGGCUCGAGUACUACAACAACCUCAUAGAUGCGCUAGUGCAACAUGGUACGUUUAUUUUCCGUAGUAUAUAUAUGGAGUGUACUGGCAAAACAGAUCUAUAUGUCAGUAUCCUAGUAAAUGAUCAACACUGAUAGAAAAAAUGCAGAAACUAUUUCCCCUUGUCUCCAUUCGGCUGCUCGACAGGACGUGGCGUGUGAUGCGGAUACAUGCGAAGGUUGGCAGAAGGUGCUCCCGCGGCGCGAUGUGCAACGUCAGGCAUCACUAGCCCCUGCUUUGGCUCCCCGUCCCGUCCCCGCUUGGCUUUAUGGUAGAUGUUGUAGAUGUCUCUUUCCUAGACACCGUGCAACAGAUUGUGGAGAUCCUUUUAGAUGUUAUCGGUGCCUUGAGAACGGUCAUCGAGCGUGUGAGUGCCGCAAUGCCUGGCGUCCCCUCAGCUCCUUGGGAAGAGCUACUAUGUCGCCAUUGCCCCGCCUCCCCGUCGAGCACCCACAAGCUCCAUCUCCAUACAAGGUCCAGAAAGAAGCCUCGCCCCUCUCGAAGAUAUUUUGUUGUGAUUCUUGGGCAUCGAUUGUUUCUGCUCCUGCUGGCUCAUUGGCCCCGGCGGAUAUCUCGAUGCGGCCUACUUUGGAGAGGCAGGCCGAGCUGCUGCGCUCUGAGCUCCUUGGUAUGGCUUCCUUUCAGCUUGAGAAAACGGUCCAGCCUCUGCGUGAUGUCAUUGACUUUAAGAAAGGUUGGAUGUUGCGGAUGGAAAGCUUCAUGGAGCGAGCUGAGGCUGCAAUGGGCGGGCUCUCCCUGACGCCGCCUGUGUUGCAGACUACUCAUGUGUUGCGCCCUUUGGUUGUGCCCGAUGGCAGCUUCGACGCUGAGAAGGGAGACGAGCUUCAUGGUCGUUUCUCCCCUCAUGCUAGGGCCAGCUCACCGCCAUUAGCCUCUGAGGGACUUGACAAUGAUGUGGUUGUGACUCCGGUGCUACAGAUCAUGCCCGAGCUUCGGGAGUUGUGUGGGGGCCCAGUUUUGCCUUUGUGCGUCGAGCAACUGCAGGUAGACCCUCCCGAGAUCUCGAGUGUGGCUUUGCCACCAACAUCACCCCUGGAGUUGAGCUAGAUAGUUGAUGCUGAGGAGAGUAGUGAUUUGGACGGUGGGAUCUCUCGCUCGCCCAAGUCCAUUGGACGUCAGGCGUUAGCCAUCGAGCGCGGAGUUUCAGAUGUUGUUGCCCUUCCCUCAUCUGCGACCAUCAAGCAGGUGAUGCCUGUGAGUGGCAUGACCACUGAGCCAAGUGUGUUGACACCUACUCCAACACCAAAUCCAAAUGCUCUCUUCGCGAAGGAACUUUGUGACUUGCUCUUUAGUGUGGAGGUUGCUAGACCUGGUUUGGACAGGUCGAUUGCUUGCCUCCUGACGGGGACGCCAAUAAGAGGCAAACAAAAGAAGAUGGGCAAAGGCAAGAGUGGUGUCAUAGGCAAGGCGUCUCUGGUUGCUUGAUGGAUGAUCUUCGGUCUCUCGGCCUGUCCUCUUGGACUGGGAGGUGCAUGAUGUCUUGUGUCGUGGUGUUCUUGCUGGGAUUCACUUGGCGUAGUAGCAGUGUCAGGGUUUGUGGAUGUUGUGCAUUCAGUGAGUUUGGCAAGGGCCAACUGUGCGGUUGGGGGUUUUCUUGUCAUGUGAGUAGUUAGUCCGUGCUCUAUUUGUGUAGGUCUUCGCCCGGUUUUUCUUAAAUUAACUGGGCAAUUCUCUUCUUCUUAAUUAAUCGAUGAGGCAAACUUUUUGCCUCCGUUUCGAAAAAAAAUUAUGCUCUCCAAACUUAUAUGUGUCCGCCGUGUUUCCCCAGGGAUUCAAGUCCAUAUUAUGAUUUACCAGCUUGAUUACCCUCAAAUGCUGGAAGAUGAGUAUGGAGGAUGGCUAAGCCCUAGAAUUGUGUAAGAUCCCACAAUAUCUCCCUUGUAGUGAUGAAAUGGCUCAAAAAAAUCUUAAAAUUUUAAGAGGGUUCCUACUUUGCUUGUACUAUUUCCUCACAGGUAGUAUUGCAAAAUGCAGGGAUGAUUUCACAGCAUUCGCAGAUAUUUGCUUCAAAGAGUUUGGAGACAGGAUCUCGUACUGGACUACAAUAGAUGAACCUAACAUAGGUGCGACCGGAUCUUACGAUGGCGGAUCGAUUGCACCCGGACAUUGCUCCGACCCGUUUGGAGUUACAAAAUGUACGGUGGGUGACUCUACAGUGGAACCAUAUAUAGCAGCUCAUAAUAUGCUAUUGGCGCAUGCAUCAGCCAGUAGGCUUUACAGACAAAAAUAUCAAGUGAGUAAUGUUGAACCCAAAAUUAGAAUCAGUGAUUUUCUCCGAUAGUAAGCUAGUAGUAAGAUUGAUGUUGCUGUCUAAGAUAAAUUCAAAACAUCAGUAUUCUCUUCCUAUACAUUCUUUAAAAAGAAAUUUCUUUUAAUGCGAAAGUAUUGUCUGACCACAUGAUAUUUUUUGGGUAGGUCACUAUCAAUUAACAGUUUAUUGGCAUAUGAUUACAUGUUUGGAUUUUCCAACAUAAGAUCCGAUUAACUGCACAAAUACAACAUUUUUCCUCAUGAUGUAUAUUCAUAUGAAAAGAUUUAUUUGUCCAUAAAAAGGAGUUUUGCAUGUAGGCCAUGCAAAAGGGGGUUAUCGGCCUAAGUAUUUACUCCCUUUGGCCUUAUCCUAUGACAAACUCUACGGAGGAUUUAGAAGCAACAAACAGAUGUUUGGACUUCUUUUUGGGAUGGUAUGUUAUCUUUACUCUGGCUUUGCUCCAGGAAUGCAGAACUAACCGACCUGUGGUUCCUUUUAGGAUACUAGAGCCCUUGAUAUCUGGAGAUUAUCCGGAAAGAAUGAAGAAAAUUGUUGGCUCUCGUCUUCCAUCCUUCACUAAUAUCCAGUCUGAAGCUAUAAUUGGUAGUGCAGAUUUCAUUGGGAUAAAUCACUACUAUUCUGUCUUCGUGAAUGAUCGUCCUUUAGACAAAGGCACUCGUGACUAUACAGCCGACUUGUCAAUUAUCUACAAAGGCAAGCAUCAUUGUUUUACUGUUCAUAAGUUUUUGUAGCAGCGGUAGUGAGCAAUGUGUUCCAUUUGUUUACUAACAGCAUAGUGAUGCAAACCGAUUGUUCAAAUUGUCAUAUAAACGGACUUAAAUUGAUUACACUUUUGAAGCAGAUUUACAACUCUGAGAUAUUUUAUCCAAAUGAUACAUCUAACGAAAUAUAUGUUUCAUUAGUUCAGCUUCUAAAACAGACCCGCCAGCCGGUAAGGUAAAGUUUUUCAUCAAUAUGUUUGUCAGAUACUAGACUGGAUUCAGCUAUUUUGUACAUGAAACAUCUACUAUGAAAUUCUAACCCAACACAAGAUACUAAAAAAAAAA
RNAcentral lists this long non-coding RNA (11025 nucleotides) under Triticum aestivum (bread wheat). Its description in RNAcentral is "long non-coding RNA (TAES_LNC000718)". Lineage: Eukaryota; Viridiplantae; Streptophyta; Magnoliopsida; Poales; Poaceae. The record is from RNAcentral.